Molecule: small nuclear RNA, 133 nt
Organism: Sorex fumeus (smoky shrew)
Lineage: Eukaryota; Metazoa; Chordata; Mammalia; Eulipotyphla; Soricidae
Product: U11 spliceosomal RNA
Exons: 1
Source: RefSeq, a predicted model, not a curated record
AGAAAGGGUUUCUGCGAUGAGUGGCACACGUAAGGACAGCUCACUUGCUCUGUGUGGAGGCGACAUCAGGAGAUUUCAGAAACAUAACUUUUUGGCAGUUGGGCAGCUGUUUAUCACUGAUCCUGGCUCCCCU